This 204-nucleotide ribosomal RNA is filed under the name Triticum aestivum (bread wheat). RNAcentral's name for it is "partial small subunit ribosomal RNA". The record is from RNAcentral. Lineage: Eukaryota; Viridiplantae; Streptophyta; Magnoliopsida; Poales; Poaceae.
AUGGCCAUGUUCUCCGACAGCGAGUCCCCCACGAACCCGAUCCGGCGCCCCCUGGUCGCCGCGAGGAACGCGGCGGGGUCGACCCUCGGGACGACGGCGCCGGAGCCGCAGCGGGAGGGGGCCCAGGAGAACGCGGCGACCGGGGCACGGCCGUUGCGGAGGCAGUUCCAGCUUUUGUGGUGGAAGGGGCAGGACUGGUUGUAG